CAGCCGCCGCGGUAAAACCAGCACCUCAAGUGGUCAGGAUGAUUAUUGGGCCUAAAGCAUCCGUAGCCGGCUCUGUAAGUUUUCGGUUAAAUCUGUACGCUCAACGUACAGGCUGCCGGGAAUACUGCAGAGCUAGGGAGUGGGAGAAGUAGACGGUACUCGGUAGGAAGGGGUAAAAUGCUUUGAUCUAUCGAUGACCACCUGUGGCGAAGGCGGUCUACUAGAACACGUCCGACGGCGAGGGAUGAAAGCUGGGGGAGCAAACCGGAUUAGAUACCCGGGUAGUCCCAGCUGUAGACUGUGCGAACUCAGUGAUGCAUUGGCUUGUGGCCAAUGCAGUGCUGCAGGGAAGCCGUUAAGUUUGCCGCCUGGGAAGUACGUACGCAAGUAUGAAACUUAAAGGAAUUGGCGGGGGAGCAC
This 420-nucleotide ribosomal RNA is filed under the name uncultured Nitrososphaerota archaeon. RNAcentral's name for it is "bacterial SSU rRNA". It matches the Rfam family "Archaeal small subunit ribosomal RNA", at positions 459 to 879 of the family's 1478-position model. The record is from RNAcentral. Lineage: Archaea; Thermoproteati; Nitrososphaerota.